UACGUAGGUGGCAAGCGUUGUCCGGAAUUAUUGGGCGUAAAGCGCGCGCAGGCGGUUAUGUAAGUCUGAUGUUAAAGCCCGGGGCUCAACCUCGGUUCGCAUUGGAAACUGUGUAACUUGAGUGCAGAAGAGGAAAGUGGAAUUCCACGUGUAGCGGUGAAAUGCGUAGAUAUGUGGAGGAACACCAGUGGCGAAGGCGACUUUCUGGCCUGUAACUGACGCUGAGGCGCGAAAGAGUGGGGAGCAAACAGG
RNAcentral lists this ribosomal RNA (252 nucleotides) under uncultured bacterium. Its description in RNAcentral is "partial 16S ribosomal RNA". It matches the Rfam family "Bacterial small subunit ribosomal RNA", at positions 524 to 776 of the family's 1533-position model. The record is from RNAcentral.